UCUCCGUUGGUGAACCAGCGGAGGGAUCAUUAUCGAGUUUAUAACUCCCAAACCCUAUGUGAACUUACCACUUGUUGCUUCGGCGCGCGCUUCGGCGCCGCCGAGGACACUUAAACUCUUUGUUUUUAUAAGCAUUUCUGAGUGGCCGAAAGGCAAAAUACAAAUGAAUCGAAACUUUCAACAACGGAUCUCUUGGUUCUG
Molecule: unclassified non-coding RNA, 201 nt
Filed under: plant metagenome
Description: partial contains small subunit ribosomal RNA, internal transcribed spacer 1, and 5.8S ribosomal RNA
Source: RNAcentral